GACGAACGCUGGCGGCGUGCUUAGCACAUGCAAGUCGAACGGAAAGGCCCUUCGGGGUCCUCGAGUGGCGAACGGGUGAGUAACACGUGGGUGAUCUGCCCUGCACUUUGGGAUAAGCCUGGGAAACUGGGUCUAAUACCGAAUAGGACCACGCGCUUCAUGGUGUGUGGUGGAAAGCUUUUGCGGUGUGGGAUGGGCCCGCGGCCUAUCAGCUUGUUGGUGGGGUAAUGGCCUACCAAGGCGACGACGGGUAGCCGGCCUGAGAGGGUGACCGGCCACACUGGGACUGAGAUACGGCCCAGACUCCUACGGGAGGCAGCAGUGGGGAAUAUUGCACAAUGGGCGCAAGCCUGAUGCAGCGACGCCGCGUGAGGGAUGACGGCCUUCGGGUUGUAAACCUCUUUCAAUAGGGACGAAGCGCAAGUGACGGUACCUAUAGAAGAAGCACCGGCCAACUACGUG
RNAcentral lists this ribosomal RNA (462 nucleotides) under uncultured bacterium. Its description in RNAcentral is "partial 16S ribosomal RNA". It matches the Rfam family "Bacterial small subunit ribosomal RNA", at positions 28 to 507 of the family's 1533-position model. The record is from RNAcentral.